RNAcentral lists this ribosomal RNA (433 nucleotides) under uncultured bacterium. Its description in RNAcentral is "bacterial SSU rRNA". It matches the Rfam family "Bacterial small subunit ribosomal RNA", at positions 29 to 506 of the family's 1533-position model. The record is from RNAcentral.
ACGAACGCUGGCGGCAGGCCUAAAACAUGCAAGUCGAACGCUUGUAGCAAUACAAGAGUGGCGCACGGGUGAGUAGCACGUGGGAAUGUACCUUUUGGUACGGAACAACUCCGGGAAACUGGAGCUAAUGCCGUAUGGUCCCUUCGGGGUAAAGAUUUAUCGCCAAAAGAGCAGCCCGCGCUGGAUUAGCUAGUUGGUAGGGUAAUGGCCUACCAAGGCGACGAUCCAUAGCUGGUCUGAGAGGACGAUCAGCCACACUGGGACUGAGACACGGCCCAGACUCCUACGGGAGGCAGCAGUUAGGAAUAUUGGACAAUGGGCGCAAGCCUGAUCCAGCCAUGCCGCGUGAGCGAUGAAGGCCUUCGGGUUGUAAAGCUCUUUAGCCGAUGAAUAUAAUGACUGUAGUCGGAGAAUAAGCCCCGGCUAACUUCGU